RNAcentral lists this long non-coding RNA (343 nucleotides) under Elaeis guineensis (African oil palm). Its description in RNAcentral is "long non-coding RNA (EGUI_LNC060952)". The record is from RNAcentral. Lineage: Eukaryota; Viridiplantae; Streptophyta; Magnoliopsida; Arecales; Arecaceae.
AGGUCCCGUCGUAGCUCUCAAAUUGAGAGAGCUUGAAGUUCGGUGGGAUCGGUUCCUGCAUAAUCAUUUGAGAGAAAGGAGGGUCAGUACAGAUAUCCUCAACGUAAGCAGGGGGAGCAUGGCAGAGCUCUUCGAUCCAUCGGUUCAUCUCCUAGAAUCUUUGAUCCAGGAGAUCCUCUCGACUACGAGUCUUGAAGGUCUUUUGGCAGAAUGAAGGUAGGGACCCUCUGGGGUGGAAUCAUGAUCGGACGGAGGGCUCUCCACCCUCUGCUUCUCCUUUUCGAGGAAGACAGGGUGACUGGCCCAAGUGGCCCUCUCGAUAGUCGGAUUCUAGAACUCCGGU